CCAGCAGCCGCGGUAAUUCCAGCUCCAAUAGCGUAUAUUAAAGUUGUUGCGGUUAAAAAGCUCGUAGUUGGAUCUCGGCGGCCAGGGGGUGGUUCGCUCUACGGCGUUACUGCCCCAUUUGGCCGUGUGAUUGGCGGAGGUUUCGGGGUGCUCUUCGCUGAGUGACCCGGGGCGCCGUCAGGUUUACUUUGAAAAAAUUAGAGUGCUCAAAGCAGGCUUUCACGCUUGAAUAUUCGUGCAUGGAAUAAUGGAAUAGGACUUUGGUGCUAUUUUGUUGGUUUAUGGGACCGAAGUAAUGAUUAACAGGGACAGUUGGGGCCGUUUAUAUUUCGUUGUCAGAGGUGAAAUUCUUGGAUUUACGAAAGAUAAACUUCUGCGAAAGCAUUCGGCAAGGAUGUUUUCAUUGAUCAAGAACGAAAGU
RNAcentral lists this ribosomal RNA (421 nucleotides) under uncultured eukaryote. Its description in RNAcentral is "SSU rRNA". It matches the Rfam family "Eukaryotic small subunit ribosomal RNA", at positions 567 to 990 of the family's 1831-position model. The record is from RNAcentral.